RNAcentral lists this ribosomal RNA (237 nucleotides) under uncultured bacterium. Its description in RNAcentral is "partial 16S ribosomal RNA". It matches the Rfam family "Bacterial small subunit ribosomal RNA", at positions 1255 to 1500 of the family's 1533-position model. The record is from RNAcentral.
ACGUGAUGGCAUGCGAAUCUCGAAAGCCUAUCUCAGUUCGGAUUGGAGGCUGAAACCCGCCUCCAUGAAGUUGGAUUCGCUAGUAAUCGCGCAUCAGCCAUGGCGCGGUGAAUACGUUCCCGGGCCUUGUACACACCGCCCGUCAAGCCAUGGGAGCCGGGGGUACCUGAAGUCCGUAACCGCGAGGAUCGGCCUAGGGUAAAACUGGUGACUGGGGCUAAGUCGUAACAAGGUAUC